AUGGUCUCCAAACGCAAACAUAAGAAAGAAGCCCAACUGUCUGUCCCCACGCCCACGGCAUACCCUUCGUUUCCACCUCCCGGCCGUAAUGUCAAAACAAAAAACGCAGCAGUCGCACCCGCUGCCGCCCGUGAUGGCGGAGGGGGCGGCGGCCUGCCCGGGCCGGCAGAGGCGGCGCGGCCGUACGAGCUGGUGUUCGCGGCGGCGGAGCUCCGCUCCAUGGACUGCAACCUCUCGGCGCUCUGCGACAACGUCCAGGCAAAGGGAUUCGGCUCCGGCGGCUUCUCCAAUGUCGUUGUCAAGGCCAUGGGCGUCACCUACCGUCUUCACCGUCUCCUCAUCUCCCGCAGCACCUAUUUCAGGUGGGCUUCCUUCUCGAAUACAGAUGCGGCGACCGAGUAUUUAGGAUUCCAUAUACUGUCAAUGCAUCAGUACGUCUAUUGGGCUGCGCCGUGUGGAUGUUUCAGUACGUCUCAUCCCCUCCCUUCAGCAAGCAGCACACUGUACAUGAGGAGAUUGACCCCAAAGUCCUAA
This 534-nucleotide ribosomal RNA is filed under the name Triticum aestivum (bread wheat). Its description in RNAcentral is "partial small subunit ribosomal RNA". The record is from RNAcentral. Lineage: Eukaryota; Viridiplantae; Streptophyta; Magnoliopsida; Poales; Poaceae.